GACGAACGCUGGCGGCGUGCCUAAUACAUGCAAGUUGAGCGCUGAAGGUUGGUACUUGUACCAACUGGAUGAGCAGCGAACGGGUGAGUAACGCGUGGGGAAUCUGCCUUUGAGCGGGGGACAACAUUUGGAAACGAAUGCUAAUACCGCAUAAAAACUUUAAACACAAGUUUUAAGUUUGAAAGAUGCAAUUGCAUCACUCAAAGAUGAUCCCGCGUUGUAUUAGCUAGUUGGUGAGGUAAAGGCUCACCAAGGCGAUGAUACAUAGCCGACCUGAGAGGGUGAUCGGCCACAUUGGGACUGAGGCACGGCCCAAACUCCUACGGGAGGCAGCAGUAGGGAAUCUUCGGCAAUGGACGAAAGUCUGACCGAGCAACGCCGCGUGAGUGAAGAAGGUUUUCGGAUCGUAAAAAUCUGUUGGUAGAGAAGAACGUUGGUGAGAGUGGAAAGCUCAUCAAGUGACGGUAACUACACAGAAAGGGACGGCUAACUACGUG
Molecule: ribosomal RNA, 497 nt
Filed under: uncultured bacterium
Lineage: Bacteria
Description: partial 16S ribosomal RNA
Rfam family: Bacterial small subunit ribosomal RNA
Source: RNAcentral